UACGUAGGGUGCGAGCGUUGUCCGGAAUUAUUGGGCGUAAAGAGCUCGUAGGCGGUCUGUCGCGUCGAUCGUGAAAACUUGGGGCUUAACCCUGAGCUUGCGGUCGAUACGGGCAUGACUGGAGUUCGGCAGGGGAGACUGGAAUUCCUGGUGUAGCGGUGAAAUGCGCAGAUAUCAGGAGGAACACCGGUGGCGAAGGCGGGUCUCUGGGCCGUAACUGACGCUGAGACACGAAAGCGUGGGUAGCAAACAGG
RNAcentral lists this ribosomal RNA (254 nucleotides) under uncultured bacterium. RNAcentral describes it as "partial 16S ribosomal RNA". It matches the Rfam family "Bacterial small subunit ribosomal RNA", at positions 524 to 776 of the family's 1533-position model. The record is from RNAcentral.